Long non-coding RNA from Lathyrus oleraceus (garden pea), 1498 nucleotides. RefSeq lists it as uncharacterized. The record is from RefSeq and is a predicted model, not a curated record. Lineage: Eukaryota; Viridiplantae; Streptophyta; Magnoliopsida; Fabales; Fabaceae. The transcript has 3 exons.
AAAGCAAUAAUAUACAAUUCAAGCAUGCUUGGUGAUCUCAAACCACUCACAAGGGGUCCCACCCUAAGGCAAAGGGAACCAAGAUGCUUAUGAUCCUUGAGGCUAUGCAAAUGCAAUGUUGUGAUACCAUGAGGGAUCUUAGGGUCAAAAUUAGGGUCUUACAAUGCCUCCAUACGAUGUGUAUUCGUAUAUUGAUUAAGAUGUUUGGGAGAAAUUUGAGAGUCUCACAACACUCCUGCUUUCUUGGCAAAGAGCCAAAAAGGAAAGAAAAAUCGAGCUAGAAAUAUCUAUCCACAUAUAUUGUCUCGUGGAGGAUAUCUAAAACUUGAAAAGAAGAUGAUGGAAGAAAAAAGAAAACAAAGGGAGGAAGAGAUGAGAGGUUCUAUAAGUCUUGAUCUCACUCCAUCACCAUCAUCACUCCACGAGAUUUAGAAGAGGGCGCAUCAAAGAAAAGACGAUGAGUUCACAUCAUAUGCUACACGCAAAGUGGCUCAAAGGAUUAUAAGUACAUACUUUUUUUUAACAAUAUUUAUUUCAGUUAAAUCAAUGUGUUAAAUAUGAAAUUUCAUAUUUGUUAUAGGAUGAUUUGGUUGAACAAACCAAAGUCUGCCUCUUCACUUCACAAGACCGUCAUGACAUCUAGGUAGAAGUGAUUGGAAUCGAAGAGCAGCAUGGGCGUGUCAGUGGUCUUGGAAGAGGCGUUGGCUUCAAGAUAUUAUUUAGACCAUCUAAAUCAUCUAGAGAGAAAAUCCUCAAGAGAGAGAUAAAGAUAUUUUUGUUGUUGAGUUGGAUAAGGAAAUGGAGAAGCAGGAUAGGAAGUUGGAGGAGGAGAGGAAGAGGUUGAGGGAGAAGCAAGAAAGAAAGUUGGAGGAGGAUAGGAAGAAGUUUGAGGAGGAGAAGAAGAGGUGGAGGGAGGAGUAGGAUAGGAAGUUGGAGGAGGAUAAGGAGAGGUUGUUGUAAACGUGCGAGAGAGUGUCCAGAAGGAGCGGGAAGAGUGAGAGAGGAUGACUGAGGAGAAUGUGUCUAAGAAGUGUACCCGUGAUGUGUUUGAGGUACAUCCAUGAGUUAUGUGUUGAAAUGAAACUUCAAAACAAGUAUUGCAUCUUAGAUUUGACGCACAUUGGUCUUACUCGCGGCUCGACAGAAACAAUAUCCUUCAUUACUUAAAAGAUAAGUUGAAAGGGAGCAUCAAAGAUUGUUAUUUGGUCCCGUUUUACCGCAAUUCGCAUUGGCAACAAGUUGUUAUAUGUCCCAAGAAAAAUACUAUAGUUGUGUUUUGCUCGUUGCACUAUGAACUUCUUGAAGAAGUAGUUAACACUUUGAAUGUGUAAGUGGUAUUAUUUUUUAACUUUAGAGUUGAAUAAUUUUUAUUCAUGUUUAAUUUUAAUCGACAUGUGUAGAGCGAUGGAGGAGUAUAAUACACUCAAACAUAAUAUACUUGGUAAAAAACCAAUAUAUGCUUCCCCAAAAGUAAUUAUAUUACUUGUGUAUUUUGACA